UACGUAGGGGGCAAGCGUUGUCCGGAUUUAUUGGGCGUAAAGAGCGUGUAGGCGGCUAGGUAGGUCCGUUGUGAAAACUCGAGGCUCAACCUCGAGACGCCGGUGGAAACCAUCUAGCUAGAGUCCGGAAGAGGAGAGUGGAAUUCCUGGUGUAGCGGUGAAAUGCGCAGAUAUCGGGAGGAACACCAAUGGCGAAGGCAGCUCGCUGGGACGGUACUGACGCUGAGGCGCGAAGGCCAGGGGAGCAAACGGG
This 253-nucleotide ribosomal RNA is filed under the name uncultured bacterium. RNAcentral's name for it is "partial 16S ribosomal RNA". It matches the Rfam family "Bacterial small subunit ribosomal RNA", at positions 524 to 776 of the family's 1533-position model. The record is from RNAcentral.